GUUGACUUAUGCUGCAAAAUACAAAGGCAAUAGGUGUUUGCUUUAGAAGGAAAGAAAUACUGGAUGUGCAUGUAUACACCCAAGAACUUGCCAGUCAAGAUGAAAAACUUCUUCUAAUGGAAUCCAGCUUGAAAGCAACUCAAGAGCAGCUAAGUGAGCAAACAGCAGAAACAGUUCGCCAAGAACAGAACAGUAGAAAAUCACAGACGGAGAGCUGAAGACCCUGAGAAAACAUAUUCUAACUUCUGAAGAAGAAAUUAGUGAUUACAAGGUAAAAACAUUUUCUGCUAAUUUCCCAGGGUGCUCCAAAUAAACUUAUUUCAUACGGAAACAGCUGAAAGUUUUUAGAAGUCAAAGGCUUUGUUUGUUGCAUACUUAUCCUGGAUGAAAUAAACCCAAGAGACAUGAUGAUGUGCACCAUAUGGAGCUACAACUGAGGCAGAAGCUCUCCCAUCCAUCACAAACGGUUCACUUUGCCAUUGUCAAACUUAUGACUGCAUAACUCCUAUUUUGUUUAAAAGAAUCAGAAAAAGUGUGGAAGGCUUAAAGUAGGAAGUCAUUAAAGAAGAUGGCAAGUGACAUAAAUAUGAAAAUCAUAGAACCCCAGAAACAUGGAGCAGUUUGAGUUUGAAGACAUCUUUACAGGUCAUCUAGUUCAAACUUCCAUGCAAUGAGCAGGGAUAUCUCGAACUACAAGAGAUUGCUAAGACUCCAGUCCAAUCUGACCAGUAAUGUUUCCAGGGAUGGGGUAUACACCACCUCUCUGGGCAACCUGCUCCAGGGUCACACCACCCUCAUUGUAAAAUACUCCUUCGUUAUAUCAAACCGAAGUUGACCUUCUAUGUGUUUAAAACCAUUACCUCUUGCCCUAUUGCAACAGACCCUGACAAAAUGUUUGUCCUCAUCUCUCUCACAAAGUUCUUUUAAUUACUCAAAGGCUACUUUAAUUACUCAAAGAGCCUUCUCUUCUGCAGCUUGAAGAACCCCAGCUUUCCUCACAGAGGAGAUAUUUCAUCCCUCCAAUCAUCUUCCUGGCUGUCCUGUGGAUUCACUCCAACAGGUACAUGUCAUUCCUGUGCUGAGGACAUCAGAGCUGGAUUCAGUAUUCCAGGAGGGGUCUCACAAGAACGAAGAGAAUGAAUCACCUCCAUAGACUAGCUGGCCACCUCUUCUUCCAGUGUAGCUCAGGAUGUGGUUGACUUUCUGGACUGCAAAUACAAAUGCUUUGCUUGCUCAAGUCCACCCUUUCAUGCACCAGGACCCACAAGUCCUCAGCAGAACUGUUCUCAAUUUUCCAACCUGUAAGAUUGUUAAAUUUGAUCAGCAUAAGAUCUAUUAGAUGUCCUCUGGGUAUGAGUUAUUGCCUAACUGAAAAGCUAGCAUAGAAAAUUUUUAUGAUAUUUUCUCAGUGUUUCAUUUUGGGGCAUUAUACCUUAAAGUUGUACCAUGCUGAAAAGUAAAAAUUGAAUCAGUGUAAAAAACUAAAUGGACACAUGCAAUAUUGUGUAUCAAAAAGUAAACAUUUUUUGAGCCCAGGGAAAUAAGUUUUUGAGCUUUAUUUGACAAAAUGGCUCAGCAUAGCUUAAAAGAGUAUGAGAGGAGUUCUGAAAUGGCACCUGUCUGCUUAUCCAUUUGUAAUAUUGACAGAACAUAGAUUUGUAGUAUGCAGAGUUGACAAUUUCCAACCGGAUGUUGAAGCACUGAUCUACAUGACAGGAAUUGUGAUCAUUAGUUGCCAUGCUUGAAAAGGAUGUGGACAGAUUCAAUGUGGUUAGGUGCAAUCAGUCCUGAAAUUAAUGCAUAAAUGGAAGAGACACUUUUUCAUUAUUGCCUACUUUGGGGGAAACAGUGGGUGCACUACUGUCAGAGUUCAGACUGAUAGAUAUUGAUACAAAUCAUUUUUAUAUGAUCUGCCUAUUUAUUAGAAUUGCUUUUCUGCUUUCUAUAUGGAAGUUCAUGAUGCAUUACAUUCUGAACUUCCUAAUGUUCAGAUUGCUGUUCUCAUUGCAAGAAAUAAUGAAAUGGAUUCAUUACUUUAUUCUUAAAAUGUUCUGAUUUAUUUUAGGAUAUAACUUCUUCAGGGAUUUCAUAUACCCUUUUGUUGUCUACUUCAUUUAUUUUAUUGUAAAAGGCCACAUAUUAUAUAUAUUUUGAGGAUAAAAAAUUUCAACAAAUAUUUUUAGAUUAUGCAUGCACACAAAUAGAAACAAGGACAAGGUCCUGAGAAGAUACAAAUUCCUACAAAUGUUUUCAGCAUUAGUAAAAAUCAUUAUUUUUAAUGUAAUGAUGAAGAAAGAGGAAUUAAGAUGACAGGCAAUUGCUUUUUUAGUUGCAUCUCUACAAAAUAAGCAAUUUUUUGGUAUAGUUUUAAAUUUUCUUUUGAGAUUAUAUUUUGCAAAACAUGGUGCACUCACUUUGAAUCUAGAAAUGAAAGCUCAAUCAAAUAAUAAUCCAUUAGUACCUAAAAUUUUGCAUAUGUGGGGGAUUCCUCUUUAUGUAUUUACCUUUGAAUUCAGAAGAUGAAACUGUGAAAGCUGAAAGAAACUACUGUGAGUUCUCUGGACACAAAGAUAUUAAAAGGAAAUUAAAACUACUACAAUGAUACAAACAAUCUGAUUAAAAAUUAUUUAUUAGUCUAAGCCUGUAGCACUACUCCUGAGCUUCAGGCAUUAUCCCUCUAGAGAGUUAUACUUCUGAAGGAAAAGAAGAAAAUAUAUCCUUCACUGCUAAUUUGAAAAAAAAAUCAAACUAUUUUGAAGGUGAAUGUAUGACUAGAACACAAAAAGUAGGAGUAGGAGGGCAAAAUGAGAUAUGAACACAAAUGUAUCAUUAAUGUAAACCUGAGAACAACUAACCUCUGGUAUUUUCAAAUGGGUUUGGGUGCUUGAACUUUACCUUCAUCUCUACAUUAUUUUUAGAGAGAGAAUUCUACAUGCAUUUCUUCCAAAUUCCUCCUAUGCUUUAUUUCAAAUGUAGAAUAUUUGUGUUAUUACCCUUUAUCUCUCUUGCUACUUCAAUAAUGCUUCUUAUGUCAUCUUAGUACUGUAAAGGCUUCACUUUUUAGCUUUUUAAUUUACUUAUAGUCUGUUCUGUGACACCUAAGGUGUUUUUCUCUGUACAACUUCAUGAAAUAAAUACCUGCCUAAAAAUGCA
Molecule: long non-coding RNA, 3153 nt
Organism: Catharus ustulatus (Swainson's thrush)
Lineage: Eukaryota; Metazoa; Chordata; Aves; Passeriformes; Turdidae
Exons: 5
Source: RefSeq, a predicted model, not a curated record